Cornus florida is the source of this 857-nucleotide long non-coding RNA. RefSeq lists it as uncharacterized. The record is from RefSeq and is a predicted model, not a curated record. The transcript is spliced from 5 exons. NCBI's taxonomy places the organism in Eukaryota, Viridiplantae, Streptophyta, Magnoliopsida, Cornales, Cornaceae.
UUGUCCUCUCCAAAAAAAUAAAAUAAAAAAUAUAUAUAUUCAGUAGAGCGAGGGCGAGCGACUAGAUUAGGAAUGGCUAUGCCACAAUUCCCUUAAGCUGUAUCGAACGAAAACUCAGAGACAAAUCCACACACCCACACAAAAAAAACCACAUACAGUGCUGGUGGAUUAAAGCCCUAACCGGUGAAAAUGUUUUUCCCUCUUUCCAUCAACCCUCUUUCAGUUGACCAUCAGAGCAAACCCUAACCCCUAAAGAAGAAACCCUAAAACUAGAAUCCUCCAUUAGAGACACGAAGGUGUGUUCGGCGAUUUGCAGACGACCGCUGCUGCUAGAGUUGGGCUAGAGGAGUUCAAUUUUUGAAGAGGAUGCAUACGAACAGGAUGCUGAACCAAAAGACCGAAAAAUUGGGAAGCUUUGUGAUUAUGCUUUGAAAAAUCCAUUACGAAUACCAAAGAUUACUGAUUACCUAGAGCACAGAUUUUAUAAGGAUUUGAGGAAUGAGCAUUUUGGCUCCGUAAAAGUUGUGCUUUGCAUUUAUAGGAAUUUGUUGUCAUCAUGUAACGAGCAGAUGGUUAGCAGUGAUGCUGGUAAUGCUAGUGACCACAUGCCUAACUUCCUUAGUGAUAAUCCUUUGUUGGCACAGUGAAUGAAGAUGGCUGGGCAAGCUUGGCGGUGCUACUUCUUUUUGCAAUCUUUUGUUAGCACUUGGUUUUCUUUUUUUUAACAAUGAUGGAGACUUUGUACUCUAAAUUAUUCAAUGAAUGUUUUGGAUUAAUUUUUGGUGAUUGUUCUUUUUUUAACAAUGAUGGAAACUUUGUACUUCAAAUUAUUUAAUGAAUGUUUGGGAUUAAUUUUA